This is a long non-coding RNA of Juglans microcarpa x Juglans regia, 934 nucleotides long. RefSeq lists it as uncharacterized. The transcript is spliced from 2 exons. Lineage: Eukaryota; Viridiplantae; Streptophyta; Magnoliopsida; Fagales; Juglandaceae. The record is from RefSeq and is a predicted model, not a curated record.
UUCAUUUUCGACUUUUGCUUUCUCAAUAAGCUUGAAAAUAUCUGUACAUGCUCAGUGGUUCUAUAUAUGUGUGUGUAAAUGCUCUGGCAGUGUGCAUUGUGAAUUGAAUUCCCAUCCACUUUAUGAAUAGAAACAAUAGGCGUAUGACCACAGCCGAUUCUCCCCACCCAUCAUCGGAGCCCAAAUCGUCGUUUCUUGAACACGCACAGGAGUCUUGAAUAUUCCAACUAAUUUCUGCAAUUCCUUUUCACAAAUUAAUAGACCCAGUUCCCAAAAGAGUUGAAUUUCAAGUCUCCGAUCACUGGCUCAGUAAAACACCAUCAUCACCAUGGGUUUGCCUUUGGUGGCAUUGGCCAAGCUCAAACUCCUUUCCGCCACCCACACUACUCCCAGCCCCUUGGUAACCAGCUUGGUUUGGCCUUUUCUCCUCAAACUCUCCUUCGGUUUCGGGCUGGCUCGUCGUACUUACAUAGACGUAGUCUAUGCAGCCAGGCUCUUCUUUUUCCAACUGGGUCAGAUUGCCUUCGAUACUGAGCCGGCUCUGGGCCACAACUCCAGAGUUGAGCGAGCUCUCCGGUUAGUGUACCAGAGGGUGACCUACGCUUCACGAUCACAAGCUCCGGAAUUGGAUGCCGACAACUUCCACACCCUCUCCAUGAUCGCACUUUAAGUGCUGCAUCUCCAGCUUGUUCCUACGAUGAUUUGAGUUCUCGAUCUUUCGGAGGUAGAUCGAUGUAUUUCCGUUCAGUUGGGUGUAUUACUGUUAAAGCACUGCAGAUUUGUUUGUGGGUGUUUUUGUCCUCUUGGUGAUCUUGCCGGAAAGUCGCAAAACAUGAUUUAAUUUAUGGAAGUGUAAUUAAAGUCUUAUGUUCGACGACUUUGCUUCUUGUACGUGUUUGGUAGUUGAAACUAUAAAGUCCCUUCAUUUUCUUUC